GUCAGGAUGGCCGAACGGUCUAAGGCGCUGCGAUGAGGUCGCAGCCUCCAUUGGAGCCGUGGGUUCGACUCCCACUUCUGACA
Callorhinchus milii (elephant shark) is the source of this 83-nucleotide non-coding RNA. The record is from the annotation of a RefSeq genome assembly. NCBI's taxonomy places the organism in Eukaryota, Metazoa, Chordata, Chondrichthyes, Chimaeriformes, Callorhinchidae.